This is a long non-coding RNA of Leopardus geoffroyi (Geoffroy's cat), 530 nucleotides long. RefSeq lists it as uncharacterized. The transcript has 3 exons. Lineage: Eukaryota; Metazoa; Chordata; Mammalia; Carnivora; Felidae. The record is from RefSeq and is a predicted model, not a curated record.
GUGUUGAGUAAAUGAAUGCAUGAACAAACAAAUGAAUGGCGCAAACUCUCCUCUCUCGCGCUCAGACUUGCAGAGGGAAGCGGAGGGGAAAUCUGCUAGGGCUCAUGCCCUCCUCGGAAUACACGUGGAGCAAACUCGGAGGAAAAGAAGACUGCAUCUCCGGUACAGCCCAUUAUAAGAGAGGAGAAAGGAACACGCGCCCCACAGUCAAGUCUUCAGAUGAUCCAGCCCCAGCUGCUCUAUGACUGCAACAGCAUGACGAAUCCCAAGAAGGUGCUGCUCAGCAGAGUCCAGUCAACUCCCAGAGCUAUCGGGUAUACAGGACAAAAUCCCCAUCAUGAAGAGGAUUUCCCACGAUACAACCCAUCAUCUGAUCCCCCAACACUGCUGAAAGACCACCGGCCCUAGUCUGUCAGGGCUUCAGAUGGCCAGUUCCCCCUCUCAGACUCCUGGGAUGGGAUCAUGUACCUGGGAUGGGCCCAGCAACCCAAAGCUGGUGCCAGCGCAACCAGCAGCUAAUGAUUAUGCCC